This 990-nucleotide ribosomal RNA is filed under the name uncultured bacterium. RNAcentral describes it as "bacterial SSU rRNA". It matches the Rfam family "Bacterial small subunit ribosomal RNA", at positions 8 to 978 of the family's 1533-position model. The record is from RNAcentral.
AGAGUUUGAUCAUGGCUCAGAACGAACGCUGGCGGCGUGCUUAAUACAUGCAAGUCGUACGAGAAAGUCCGGCUUCGGUUGGACGAGUAAAGUGGCGAACGGGUGAGUAACACGUGAGGAACAUGCCCUGAUGUCUGGGAUAAUCCUGCGAAAGCGGGCCUAAUACCGGAUUCAGUCAUGAGAAGGCAUCUUCUUAUGAUUAAAGGUGGUUGAGUCUAUGCCACCGCAAUGGGAUUGCCUCGCGCUCCAUUAGUUUGAUGGUAGGGUAACGGCCUACCAUGACCGCGAUGGAUAGCCGACCUGAGAGGGUGACCGGCCACACUGGGACUGAGAUACGGCCCAGACUCCUACGGGAGGCAGCAGUAGGGAAUAUUGCGCAAUGGGCGAAAGCCUGACGCAGCAACGCCGCGUGGAUGAUGAAGCUUCUUGGAGUGUAAAAUCCUGUCAGUGGGGACGAACCGUGUGAGGAGGAAAUGCCUCAUGCCUGACGGUACCCGCAGAGGAAGUUCCGGCUAACUCCGUGCCAGCAGCCGCGGUAAUACGGGGGGAACAAGCGUUGUUCGGAUUCACUGGGCGUAAAGGGCACGUAGGCGGGAAGGCAAGUCAGAUGUGAAACCCCGGGGCUUAACCGCGGGCCUGCAUUUGAAACUGCCUUUCUUGAGUACGGGAGAGGAUGGCGGAAUUCCUGGUGUAGCGGUGAAAUGCGUAGAUAUCAGGAAGAACACCGGUGGCGAAGGCGGCCAUCUGGACCGAUACUGACGCUGAGGUGCGAAGGCCAGGGGAGCAAACAGGAUUAGAUACCCUGGUAGUCCUGGCAGUAAACGAUGGGUACUAGGUGUGGGGGGUAUCGACCCCCCCCUUGCCGCAGCUAACGCAUUAAGUACCCCGCCUGGGGAGUACGGCCGCAAGGUUGAAACUCAAAGGAAUUGACGGGGGCCGCACAAGCGGUGGAGUAUGUGCUUAAUUCGACGCACGCGAGACCUUACCUGG